UACGUAGGUGGCGAGCGUUGUCCGGAAUUACUGGGUGUAAAGAGCUCGUAGGCGGCUCGUCGCGUCGUCCGUGAAAACCCGGAGCUCAACUCCGGGCCUGCAGUCGAUACGGGCAGACUGGAGUUCGGCAGGGGAGACUGGAAUUCCUGGUGUAGCGGUGAAAUGCGCAGAUAUCAGGAGGAACACCGGUGGCGAAGGCGGGUCUCUGGGCCGAUACUGACGCUGAGGAGCGAAAGCGUGGGGAGCGAACAGG
This 253-nucleotide ribosomal RNA is filed under the name uncultured bacterium. RNAcentral's name for it is "partial 16S ribosomal RNA". It matches the Rfam family "Bacterial small subunit ribosomal RNA", at positions 524 to 776 of the family's 1533-position model. The record is from RNAcentral.